GGUGCCUAGCCUGCUGCCCCGCAUCGGCGCCUCUACGUGCAUCUCCGGCCGUCCAACCUCGCGCCUCGACGGCCUCCUACAAGCACGGCUAUGUCGACCGCGGAGUUCAGCUGGGCGCUGCAGCUCUCCCUCCUCACCCAUGCCACUUCGUCCACAUCGUCAGUGCUUUCGACAGACCACCUGCAGUUCGCCCCCUCCCCUUGGCGGCCCAGCGGCCACCACGAGCCGGUGACACCCUGCAUGCUGCAGUUCUUUUUGGGUUGAUGUUGAAUUAAUCGGUGCUGAAGGCCCGUGCAGUCUGUUGUGGCGCAAGCAUGCAGUACGGGCGGCGGCGAGGUAGCUCGUGUAGUUCCUGUACGCGGCGCGUGCGGUUUGUUUGCAGCCCAUGUGCACGAUGCAUGCAGGUCGUGUGUGUGUGUGUGUGUCGACGUUCAGUUCGCCGGGAAACUACAGAAGAAAAAGGAUCAUUUUUUUAAGUUCACUUUCUUCUUGAAUGUGUUAGAGAGAAAAUGUAAAAAAUUAUAAAAAAGAUGUAGUCCGUUGGUGUA
Molecule: long non-coding RNA, 548 nt
Organism: Triticum urartu
Lineage: Eukaryota; Viridiplantae; Streptophyta; Magnoliopsida; Poales; Poaceae
Source: RefSeq, a predicted model, not a curated record